Molecule: ribosomal RNA, 251 nt
Filed under: uncultured bacterium
Lineage: Bacteria
Description: partial 16S ribosomal RNA
Rfam family: Bacterial small subunit ribosomal RNA
Source: RNAcentral
GGGGGCAAGCGUUUGUCCGGAUUCAUUGGGCGUAAAGAGCGUGUAGGCGGCCAGGUAGGUCGGUUGUGAAAACUGGAGGCUCAACCUUCAGACGUCGACCGAAACCAUCUGGCUAGAGUCCGGGAGAGGAGAGUGGAAUUCCCUGGUGUAGCGGUGAAAUGCGCAGAUAUCAGGAAGAACACCCCGUGGCGAAAGCGGCUCUCUGGAACGGUACUGACGCUGAGACGCGAAAAGCGUGGGGAGCGAACAGG